RNAcentral lists this ribosomal RNA (617 nucleotides) under uncultured bacterium. RNAcentral's name for it is "bacterial SSU rRNA". It matches the Rfam family "Bacterial small subunit ribosomal RNA", at positions 9 to 644 of the family's 1533-position model. The record is from RNAcentral.
GAGUUUGAUCAUGGCUCAGAGUGAACGCUGGCGGCGUGCUUAACACAUGCAAGUCGAACGGAUGAAAUAAGCUUGCUUAUUUCGUUAGUGGCGCACGGGUGAGUAAUGUAUAGCUAACCUGCCCUUUAGUGGGGGACAACAGUUGGAAACGGCUGCUAAUACCCCAUACUCCUUCUUAUCAUAAGGUAAGUUGGGAAAGAUUUAUUGCUAAAGGAUGGGGCUUUAUUGUAUCAGCUAGUUGGUGGGGUAAUGGCCUACCAAGGCUAUGACGCAUACCUGGUCUGAGAGGAUGAUCAGGCACACUGGAACUGAGACACGGUCCAGACUCCUACGGGAGGCAGCAGUGGGGAAUAUUGCACAAUGGAGGAAACUCUGAUGCAGCAACGCCGCGUGGAGGAUGACGCAUUUCGGUGUGUAAACUCCUUUUAUAAGGGAAGAUAAUGACGGUACCUUAUGAAUAAGCACCGGCUAACUCCGUGCCAGCAGCCGCGGUAAUACGGAGGGUGCAAGCGUUACUCGGAAUCACUGGGCGUAAAGGAUGCGUAGGCUGGAAAUCAAGUCGAGAGUGAAAUCCAACGGCUUAACCCGUUGAACUGCUCUCGAAACUGGUUACCUAG